UAUUAAGUGGCCGAAUACAAGCACUAGAUUUUUAAUCUAGAUUAUGAUUAGUUCCUAAUCCUUAGUAG
Molecule: transfer RNA, 68 nt
Filed under: Inopinoteuthis magna
Lineage: Eukaryota; Metazoa; Mollusca; Cephalopoda; Octopoda; Cirroteuthidae
Description: Cirrothauma magna tRNA-Lys
Source: RNAcentral